Triticum dicoccoides is the source of this 595-nucleotide long non-coding RNA. RefSeq lists it as uncharacterized. The transcript has 3 exons. The record is from RefSeq and is a predicted model, not a curated record. NCBI's taxonomy places the organism in Eukaryota, Viridiplantae, Streptophyta, Magnoliopsida, Poales, Poaceae.
CUAUCAAUUCCACCCUCAACAACUAACACGUAACCGAUAUGGUUGGCCGUGUGCAAGCACAGUAAGACUAGUAGUGCUGCUCCUAUACACUCUUCAGUUCGUGUGUGUACUAGUAUGUGCGUGCAUUACUGAUCCUCCUCAGAUAUUUGCUCCUCUUAGUCUGGGGCCCUCCGUUGGCAUCACGCCAGGAGGUCGGUUGCUGAGCGCGAUGUAGACGGCUCGCCGACGUAUGUAUACCGCCUCGGUCGACAACACAUUUUACCUACCUCCAUCACUGCUCCUCCCCGAGAAGGGCAGCCAACUUGUCCAAGACAGGUUUUAGACAGCAGAACGCGUACCUAACGCUGCGCUUGAGUGGCUGGAAAUCCUUUGGAGUGCCAAUCAUGUGGAGGGUCCUUGUGAAGAAAACGUGGAAGGCAUGAGCCAAAGGAGAAUGAAAAUUCUCAAGUUUGUAGCAUCCACUCUAUCACUGAUCAAGACCCAAGCAACUACUCCAGCAUCCAUUCAUCACUGAAAAUGUUGAAACUGUUGAAUAUUGCUAGCUACUAGCUAGUGUGGAAGAAUUGUUUGGUGCAAGACAACCGUAUUCACCUCA